This 824-nucleotide ribosomal RNA is filed under the name Akashiwo sanguinea. Its description in RNAcentral is "LSU rRNA". It matches the Rfam family "Eukaryotic large subunit ribosomal RNA", at positions 43 to 885 of the family's 3401-position model. The record is from RNAcentral. Lineage: Eukaryota; Dinophyceae; Gymnodiniales; Gymnodiniaceae.
UAAGUAAGCGGAGGAAAAGAAACUAAAUAGGAUUCUCUUAGUAAUGGCGAAUGAACUGGGAUGAGCUCACCAUGGGAAUCGGGGUCCUCGACCUUGAAUUGUAGUCUCGAGAUGCAGCGCCAACAAAGGCGCAGGUGUAAGCCUCUUGGAAGAGAGCACCGCGGAGGGUGAGAGUCCCGUCUGUCACCUGCAGUCCCUUGUGUACGGCCUGCGUUCUAAGAGUCACGUUCCUCGGGAUUGGAGCGCAAAUCGGGUGGUAAGUUUCACCUUAAGCUAAAUAUUGGUCCGAGACCGAUAGCAAACAAGUACCAUGAGGGAAAGGUGAAAAGGACUUUGAAAAGAGAGUUAAAAGUGCUUGAAAUUGCUGAAAGGGAAGCGAAUGGAACCAGUUCCGCUGGGUGAGAUUGUCGCCUGCCAAGGCCUCGUGCCGGUCGCAUGUGAUGCUUCUUGCCUUGUGUGUCAGCUGCGGUCCGAGGUUGGGGAAAACUCCGGGGACAUGGAUGCCAACCUUCGGGGGGGUGAAUGUGCCUGGCAAGACCCGUCUUCGGACCGUGAGCAGUGCUUGGCAUGUUUGCGGUGUUGACGAAAUGCUUCUAUUCGACCCGUCUUGAAACACGGACCGAGGAGUCUAACAUGUGUGCGAGCUCACGGGUGUCAAACCUGCUUGCGCAAUGAAAGUGACGGCUGGGAUACUUGCACCAGCAACCGAUCUGUCAACCGAGAGAGAUUUGAGUUUGAGCAUACCUGUUAGGACCCGAAAGAUGGUGAACUAUGCUUGUGUAGGGCAAAGCCAGGGGAAACUCUGGUGGAGGCUCGUAGCGAUA